RNAcentral lists this transfer-messenger RNA (409 nucleotides) under Chlamydiota bacterium. RNAcentral's name for it is "Chlamydiae bacterium transfer-messenger RNA, SsrA". It matches the Rfam family "transfer-messenger RNA". From Rfam's summary of the family: Bacterial tmRNA, also known as 10Sa RNA or SsrA, is named for its dual tRNA and mRNA-like properties. Its role is to liberate the mRNA from a stalled ribosome. The record is from RNAcentral. Lineage: Bacteria; Pseudomonadati; Chlamydiota.
GGGGGUGUACAGGUUUCGACUUAGCAAUGGAACAUAAGUGGCAUGCAGAGGAUGUCAGUUGGCCUCUCAAAAAAUCUGGCGAAAUGAUAAAUGGCAAAUCAAACACGAUUGUCGAAGUUGAUUUUUCUCCAAGUGAAGAAAAAUUAGCUCAUGUAGCUUAAGACCUAACAGUCUUAGCAACUCGGUGACCUAGAGUGUACCAGGCAUUUUAGAAUCACUGUCAUAUUUCCUGGUUUGGAUCUAAAUUCAUUUACGCUUUUUAGAAUUCUGAUUCGAGACAUUAAAAAGGCGGGUUGCUUCCCAGUGGGGCACCUUCCAUCAGAAGCAACUGCGAAACUGAAGGUGAUAAGCAUGUAGUCAUUUAUGCUGAAGUUGGCUAAGGACGAGAGUUCGAUUCUCUCCACCUCCA